UCGGCGUGGCGGGCGGCCUGCGCGGCGCGGUCGGCGUCGGCGGCCCGGUCGAGGGCCUCGGCCAUCUGGCGUUCGGCCUCGCCGACGCGGGUC
RNAcentral lists this transfer RNA (93 nucleotides) under Actinoplanes palleronii. Its description in RNAcentral is "tRNA-Asp". The record is from RNAcentral. Lineage: Bacteria; Bacillati; Actinomycetota; Actinomycetes; Micromonosporales; Micromonosporaceae.